This 471-nucleotide ribosomal RNA is filed under the name Veillonella sp. oral taxon G38. Its description in RNAcentral is "bacterial SSU rRNA". It matches the Rfam family "Bacterial small subunit ribosomal RNA", at positions 28 to 470 of the family's 1533-position model. The record is from RNAcentral. Lineage: Bacteria; Bacillati; Bacillota; Negativicutes; Veillonellales; Veillonellaceae.
GACGAACGCUGGCGGCGUGCUUAACACAUGCAAGUCGAACGAAGAGCGAUGGAAGCUUGCUUCUAUCAAUCUUAGUGGCGAACGGGUGAGUAACGCGUAAUCAACCUGCCCUUCAGAGGGGGACAACAGUUGGAAACGACUGCUAAUACCGCAUACGAUCUAAUCUCGGCAUCGAGGAUAGAUGAAAGGUGGCCUCUACAUGUAAGCUAUCACUGAAGGAGGGGAUUGCGUCUGAUUAGCUAGUUGGAGGGGUAACGGCCCACCAAGGCGAUGAUCAGUAGCCGGUCUGAGAGGAUGAACGGCCACAUUGGGACUGAGACACGGCCCAGACUCCUACGGGAGGCAGCAGUGGGGAAUCUUCCGCAAUGGACGAAAGUCUGACGGAGCAACGCCGCGUGAGUGAUGACGGCCUUCGGGUUGUAAAGCUCUGUUAAUCGGGACGAAAGGUCUUCUUGCGAAUAGUUAGGAGAA